GACGAACGCUGGCGGCGUGCUUAACACAUGCAAGUCGAGCGGUAAGGCCCUUUCGGGGUACGACGAGCGGCGAACGGGUGAGUAACACGUGGGUGACCUGCCCUCAGCUCUGGGAUAAAAAGCCUGGGAAACCGGGUCUAAUACCGGAUAUGACUCCAUGACGCAUGUUGUGGGGUGGAAAGCCUUGUGCGGCUGAGGAUGGGCCCGCGGCCUAUCAGCUUGUUGGUGGGGUGAUGGCCUACCAAGGCGACGACGGGUAGCCGGCCUGAGAGGGCGACCGGCCACACUGGGACUGAGACACGGCCCAGACUCCUACGGGAGGCAGCAGGUGGGGAAUCUUGCGCAAGUGGGCGAAAGCCUGACGCAGCGACGCCGCGUGAGGGAUGACGGCC
Molecule: ribosomal RNA, 392 nt
Filed under: uncultured bacterium
Lineage: Bacteria
Description: bacterial SSU rRNA
Rfam family: Bacterial small subunit ribosomal RNA
Source: RNAcentral